GGGGUCGUAGCUCAAUUUGGUAGAGCGUCCCGACUCGAGUUGGGGAGGUUAGUGGUUCGAUUCCACUCGGCUCCA
This 75-nucleotide transfer RNA is filed under the name soil metagenome. It matches the Rfam family "tRNA". From Rfam's summary of the family: Transfer RNA (tRNA) molecules are approximately 80 nucleotides in length. Their secondary structure includes four short double-helical elements and three loops (D, anti-codon, and T loops). Further hydrogen bonds mediate the characteristic L-shaped molecular structure. tRNAs have two regions of fundamental functional importance: the anti-codon, which is responsible for specific mRNA codon recognition, and the 3' end, to which the tRNAs corresponding amino acid is attached (by aminoacyl-tRNA synthetases). tRNAs cope with the degeneracy of the genetic code in two manners: having more than one tRNA (with a specific anti-codon) for a particular amino acid; and 'wobble' base-pairing, i.e. permitting non-standard base-pairing at the 3rd anti-codon position. The record is from RNAcentral.